ACAUCUUCACACACACUAUGUAUAUAUGUAUACGUAUACUUAUAUAUAUAUAUGUAUAUGUAUAUGUGUGUAUAGUGUGAAUUCCUAGACUGUUCAUUAAAUUAUUAUUAUCGUCAUUAUUAUUAUUAUUAUUAUUAUUAUGGUUUUUGAGAUAGGAUUUCUCUGCCCUGACUGUCCUGGAACUCACUCUGUAGACCAGGCUAGCCUCAACUUAGAGAUCCACCUACCUCUGCCCCUCAAGUGCUGGGAUUAAAGGCCUCUGCACCUCAUCCAGCUUUCUAAACUCCUAAGAAACUCUUUAUAACAUUUGAUUAAAGCAAUUGUCCUUUUUGGGUUGUAGCUGUAGCAUGGUAGAUGGCUUUCAUAGUACAUGCAAGGCCCUGCAUUCAAGUUCUAGUACCGAAGAAGGAAAUAUUUUAUUAGCUUAAUAAUUUGUAUCUGUUUUAUGCCUGCUCCCAACAUCAAGGAACUAAAGAGGUUUAUAAUCAAAAUACAUACAUAGCAAGGAUAUGAAAGUUGGAUACAAAAAUGGGAAAUUAUGGACAGAGGAGAGAAAUAAUACUAUUUAGGUGAAUGAAGCUCAUGUAUUCAUUCAUCCACGUCAUUCAUUCCAAUAAACUUGUUGACCUAUGUGCUAAGUAUUUAGAUCAUUAUGGUCAACAAAACAGCAUUUGAGUGAAGAAGAAAGCAUCAAUCAUGCAUAUGGCUACAAAAGAAAACAGUAGGACUGGAGAGAUGGCUCAGUGGUUAAGAGCAGUGACUGCUCUUCCAGAGGUCCUGAGUUCAAAUCCCAGCAACCACAUGGUGGCUCACAACCAUUUGUAAUGAGAUCUGAUGCCCUCUUCUGGUGUAUCUGAAGACAGCUACAGUGAAUAUAAUAAAUAAAUAAAUCUUUAAAAAAAAAAAAACCAAACAAACAGUAGACUAUUCCUAGGUAGACUGAUGCUGUAGGGUGAGGUAAGCCAAGACUGACUGAUGGUCAAGGAAGCCAUCCUAGAAAGAUCAACCAUGCAGCCCUUAAGGGUCAGCUGAUAUUAGUCACAUGGGAGACACAUUGGAAACAUGAAAAAAAAAGGGGGAUGGCAAGAAUGGAGCCCAGGGGAGCCUGGUGAUUGACGAGGACCUAUGUCCUCGAGGAGGGGUCAUGGUGCUGGAACUGUGGGUCAUUGUUACAGCCUGAAUUGUGUCCCUUAAGAAGAGAUGCUAAAAUCCAAACCCCAAUACCGUAAAAUGUGGCCUCAUUUGUAGGAAGGCUCUUCAUAUAGGUAGCGAAGUUACCACGUGGUCCUUAGAGUGGGAUCUAAUUCAGUAUUGCUUCAGUUCCUAUAGAAAAUGGGGAUUUGGGGCAGAGAGCUGGGCAUAGAGAGAAUGUCUCAUGAGGUAAUGCCCAUUGACAAAUCAAGGACAGACACUUGGAAAAGGUCCAUCUCUCCCAGAAAGAAUGGAGUCCAAUGUUGUGGAGAUCACUCUGACCUGCAUAGCAGGGGCAAUUUUUGCUAUCACAGCACCUUUAAGAGAGACCUGUGCUGAGAAAUGAAAAACUAUGUCACUGGCUGACGGCAUGAGUUGAUUUACAUCAUCAGUCACGUCUAGGGGUUGGGUCUGUGUUUUUUGCCUUUAUAAGCCUGCUGUUUUGCCAUAAAGUUGAGCCUGGGUCAGAACUUUGCCUUGGCUCCAUUCUCCUCUUGUCCCUGUCUUUUAAUUUCCAAACUCCCAUUCGAGGUACCUACGUUGACUGGUGGUCCCUGGUUGACUACACAAUGUCACCUUGAUUUUGAACUUGUGUCCAGGGUCAUCAGAAAAUAAAUGUAGGUAUUUUAAAGUCACCAAUUGUACAGUACUGCAUUGUGUGACAGCAAGGUUAGGAAUUUGCUUUAUUUUAAAGACAAUGAGGCACAAUAAAAGAGUUUCAAGUAGGGAAUGAAAGCAUUUAAUUAAUGUCACAUAAAACGGUUACAUUAGUUAUUGGGUGGAUAAUGGAAUAGUGGACGUUGAAGGGAGUCAUUGCUGUCCUUGAGUAGGGGACACUUCAUCUCCUAUGGUAAGAGCCUUGACUGAACUCCAUGACAAAAGGUAAAUUUGUAAGAAAAAAGUGUAAUAAUUUUACAUAACUGGGGGCUGGAGAAAUGGAUUGCUCUUCCAGAGUUCUUGAGUUCAAUUCUCAGCCACCACAUGGUGGCUCACAAACAUCUGUUAUAGGAUCCAAUGCCCUCUUCUGGUGUGUCUGAGGACAGCCACAGUAUACUCACACAAAUAAGUUAAAUAAAUAAAUCUUUUUUUUUUUUAAUUAACUAAAUUUUAAGACAUGGGAGACUUCAGAUCCAAAGACACAAGAGAAUUCUUACAUUUUUAUGCUUAGGUUCAGUGAUGCAUGUGCAUGAGUCUGAUAGACGUGUGAUUGGAUAAAUGGGGUAGGACCUACUGGGAUGAACUGAUGUUGAAGGUCUGCCCAGUAACUUCCUCCCUCUCAGUGUAGUGUUGCUUUGUUCAAGGUACAGGAUGGGACACUGCCAUGUGAGGGCGUCAUGAUCUAUUUCCAGGGAGGGGGUAGGCCAGGCUGCCCGUUUAUAGUCAAUUCUCAGGCAGAAAAGCUGGGAGGCAUUAAGUGUGGUGAUAUAUGCCUGUGAUCCCUGUACUCAUGAGGCAGAGGCAGAGGCAGGAGGAUUGUAGUUCAAAGCCUGGGUUCCAUAGAAAGGUCUGUGUAAGCCUUAGAGGCCAUAUCUCAUUAAAGGAAAAAAAAGGAAAGGGGUAGGGAUAAUCUCCUAUACACUGUGUGGUAGCAUCACCUGUCAAUCAAAAACUGACGGCCUAUUAGCAACAGGCAGGAAGUAGAAGGUGGGAGUUCCAAUAGAGGGACUGGAACUCUGGGAGAUAGAGGUGGGACAUUCACCCUGGACUCUGAGGAAGUUAGACGUGUCAAGUUGAGGAGAGGUAAGUAUCCUUGUGGAAAGCACGGAGUAUUUUAAAUGGGUUUUGUAAGCUACAAGCUAUUGGGAAAUAAGCUAAAGCUUAUGGCCUAGGCAUCUAUUCAUAAAUAAAAAAGGCCCCGAGUUGUUAUUCGUGAACUCGGGUGUGGGUGAAAAAGCCCCAGGGUACAGAAAAGAAGGAAGGGAAAGAGAAAAUAGAGAAAGAAAAAAAGAAGAAGCAAGAGAAGAAGAGGAGAGAGUGGCCUUUGUUUCGACUGUUUUCUUAGUUUCCAAGAGAUCAUAUUUUGGGGUAAUGUGUUCUGAGGCCUGACACACUUAGGGCAAAGCCUUUAUGGUGUGUAUAAUUUUUGUAUCAAAUUUAUGACAACAUUUUAAGUUAAUAUUUUUUUUUUUAUUUUAGACUAGAUCUCAUACCUGCAUGCAUAUAUAAAAUCUGAGAGCAAUUUUAACAUGGCCUCUCAGACACAGAGGUACAAACAUGUCCUCCUGAUUUUCACUAAAAUACGCAGCUCUAUUUUUUAAUGUUACUACUUCUUGAGCCGUUCCCAGGUGAAGAUGGGCUUUGAACUACAAUCCCCCUGCCUCAGCCUAUGGUGAAGAUACCCUAUCUCCAGUGGUGUUUGGGGCAUGAAAAGGACUGGAGGGAGUGGUGAAGCCAGGCAGCCUGCAUACAGGGCUCCCUCACCUGCAAAGCCUGUGCUCUUUUAUCAGCUUCUUCUUGUUGACUAAAUCAUUGGCUAACCCAAUUUAAGUGCCUGUCAGUAACUAAUCCUCCUUAAGCCAUCCAUUUUGUUUUAAAUGGUUUGAUUUCCUUUACUGGUUCCCUGAGUUUUAUUACUUCCAGUUAUCUGUUUUCUACUUUGAACUUUAUAUAAAACGAAACCCUUAGGCUUUCAGAAAGUUUGCCAGAGGAAUAGGGUGAACUCUCAAGCACGCCUUGCACUCAGGCGUUUGAAAGGUGAUCAUUCGCGUCAUGUGCUCGUGUGUUCUAGGCCAUUUGAGAAUGGGUUCCAUCUAUUCUUUCUCGACUCGAAAUUUUUAUUCUCUUUUUUGUUCUGAAGAGUCUUCUCUACUCAGGUACUGUGCUUCAAUCACUUUUAAAAUUGCCAGUUUGGUUGGUUUCGGGCCAACUAGCAUGACAUUUAAAGUUUCUAUCCCUUAGCAUUUAACUAGUACUUUUAAGAUUGCAUAAAUUUGUUUCCUUUUUGAAAUUUUAUAGUUAAGAGGAUUAGGAGAGCCAUGGAGUUGACCUGUCUGACCAUACUGGUCUUUGUGUACGUUUUUAUGUCUCAUUCUUCAUAAAUGCUAAAAUUAGUUACUUGGUAUUUUGUUUGGGCUUGUAUAUGUGUGUGUGUGUGUGUGUGUGUGUGUGUGUGUGUGUGUGUGUGGACAUAUAUAUAUGUUCAUUUGUGUAUGGGGUGUGUGAGAGCGUGUGCAUGCUGAGAUCAGGGGUCAACUUCACAUGUCUUCAUCAAUUCCUUCCUUAUAUGAGACAGUGUCUCUCACUGACCAGGAGUCUGUGUUUUUCUUUCCUUUGAACAAUACUUUAUCUGAUCCUGUCAUUUUAACCCAUUCUAUGCAGGUUAAACUAUUCCCUGCGCUCUUCCUAAUCAAGAAAAUUCUGAUUGUAAUUAUGGGCAGUCAGAGAAGUUGUUUUGCCACAUGGAAGGAAUGGGACCGAACUUUCUAGAGGAGUCACCUUCCAAUGGCACACUCAUUUAUGAUUUCUGUCUCCUUUAGAAGCACAGGAGUGGGAGGGACGACUGUGGAAGGAAGGCUGACGAUAAGCCCCGCCGCUUGUCCGUCAUUAGCUGAGAUCAGCAAAUGCCCAGCAUGCUACAGCGCAUGGCAGGUCUGUGUGGUACCCAGUCUCUCUGGGAAGCUACAAAUGAAGAAACUGAGGCUUAGAUCAAUUGUCCCAAAGUGGAGGAUCUGGGAUUCAAGUCCAUGUCUUUGAGUCCCUUGUUCUAUGACCUGUAGUUGCUUCUGUAUGGUCUCUUGGCUCCAUCCUGUUUCCAUAUUUGAAAAGAAGGCCUUCUGUUCUCUUUCAGAACUAUCAAAGAAAAGACAGACUCAUUUCACCUUGAGCAAAGUCCAGCAAGGGAAUGGGACAGUCUCAGCCAAUAAAAAAAAUGUAAUCCUGGCAAGAGAUGAUCAGCUCUGCUCACCCCUCAUCUGAAGACUGUCCUUUUCGUGCUCAGUGGUAGACUUUCACGCUGGUGAUUGGCAAGGAACCUCAGAGAGAGGUGGGGCCAGCUGCAAAGAACUCUGGGAGGCCGGAGAUGAAUGGCCGCACAGAUUCCACAGAGAGGGUCUGCGCGCUGGCAGCUGGUGGCCAAAGGCUGCCGUCUGGCCAGGAAGGAAGGCCACUGGGCAAGCCCCGGUCUCCAGGUACCCCCUGGUAUCUUGGCUCCCUGCACCUCCCAGGAUGAGGCAGCUGCUGCCACUUCUCUUGCCAGGAGGUCAGAGCCAGGCUCCCCCAAAGCCAGUGACAUGUUCUCACGGUGAGCAUUUGGGGAUGAGUAAACGCUAGCCAUAAGCGGAGCAAGUCUAAUGUCUGCAGGUCAGAAGACUGGAAGUAUGAAUGGAAGAACAGAUGUGAAUUAAAUGCUUAUUUGAAGGAAGGAAAGGGAUUAUGACAAAUGCACGUGUUCAGUGUAAUUCAGAAAUACCGUGUGUGGGGCUGUGUAUGAUUGCUGCACUGGUAAAGUGCUUGCCGCAUAUGCAUGAAAACCUGAGUCCAAGUCCCCAGCCCUUAUUUAAAAACAAAAACAAAACCCCAGAACCAAAAGUCUGAAUACCAGCGAGUGUGUAAUGUCAGCCCUGAGCAGGCAGACAGGCAGUCCCUGGCACUUACUGUCCUGCCAGCCGAGGUGAGUGGCAAGUUCCAAGUUCCAUGAGAGAUGUUUUCUGGGGGUGGGAUUGGGGACAAAAAGUUGAGGAAGACACCUGGCCAGCCUCUGGCCUCCACAUGCAUGUGCACAGGUACAUGCUCAGCACAAACACCUACAAUGAGUGAACAAGUGUGCGUGUUCUAACUAGCUGUACCACGGUGUUAUUUUCUUUGCCUUACCUGUGUGUGCUUCCCACCUGAGAAGCCCUCCAGCCCUGCAGUUCGUCCCUUGCCGGAGACUCUGAACAGAAGCUCUGCGAGCAGUCUCUGUGCCUCAGUGACUAGCAGAAACUGUGAUAUAAAGACAUUGCUUCCCGCACACUGGAAGUCCCAGGGUACUAACCGCCGUGUUCAGCUGUCUUUGGGCCAAAUGCACUUUGUCAGUCUUCACUCACAGGCGCCAGAUGUGGGAAAGAGAAGAAGUUGAAGUCCGAGCCACCAGCUGGUCAUCUGGACUACCGUUAGAACGUUUAACAAGACAAUUUUCUCAGAACCAUCUGAGCGUGUGAACAAGCAUGCAGGGCCUUUCCCAGCCUCGGGAAGGGGAGUACAAACAAGUCCUUUAUACGUAGAAUUUUAAGAUUGAUAUCAAUUAGCCAUGUGGUUCACUUGUCCCCAUCAGUACCUGCAGAUCUAGCUCUAAUAGAAUCCGUCUAAUAGCCUCCCAACUGUCUUCGGGGAGCAAUCCCCUAGGCCUCACUGGGACACUUCCUCGUUGUUUGAGAUAGGAUCUCAUCAUGUAACUCUAGCUGGUUUGGAACUCAUUGUGUAGAUCAGGCUAGCCUUGAACUCUGAGAGAUCUGCCUGUUUCUGCCUCCUGAGGUUUGAGAUUCAAAGCAUGUGACACCAUGGCCAGCCCACAGUAGGACAUCUUUAACCUUACUCUGCACUCACUAUUCAGGAUGCCUUCAGGAUGUCCACGUCAAUGUGAUAGCAUCAGUCGGUCACUAGCUCCCCACUGUUCUCUAAAUAUGCCCCUCCCCCACACCACAUGAGCCCAAGAAUGGGACACCAGGCCUGACACCAAAAUUAACCAGCUUAUUAGAGAGAGAGAGAGACAGACAAAAGGAGGGGAAGAGAGAGAGGCAGGGGGAGGGAGAGAGAAAGGUACCCUCCCCCACAACUGUCCUUUGGGUCAGUCACAGAGCCUGUUCCACUGAAAUGGGUUUUUUUGGUCAUGCCUACAAAGGCCUUUCCCAUAGUGCCUUGCAACUAUCCACCCUUAACACCCUUACCCACAAUCCCCUGUGGGGCCAGGGAGCCGUGAGAUGGGGAAGCAGUCCCAAGGCAAGAGUGGGGUCGAGGUAUGUCAGGCACACAUAGCCCUGUACUGCCACCAGAGGCAGUCACAUAGCCUGGUAGCCUGUUUAAGCUGCCUGUCUCCUUAUAAGGUCAUGUCUAGCAGCACCUGGAAUUCCUCCUUAUGCGAAUGAGGCAUCCCUAGCACCCUGGUCCCAGCCAAUGAUGUACACUCACUCCAAAAGCCCCUAUUUAUGCCCCAAAGGGUUAAAUAGCCUUUGUUCCCCCAUUAAAUUGAGCUGUCUCACUGAAGCUGCCUCCUGAGCAUCUUACCACCACCACCCGAGGUUUCUUAGCUCGAGCCAGUCCCCCUCUUCCUGUCAGGAUCUACCUGCUGUGAUGGCAGGCCACAGGCCUGUGAGAGAAGAAGCAGAAUCUGAUAGCAAGCCAAAUAGGCAUGCAGAGUGUUGUUCAGUAAGUGUGUGCAGUGAGUGGCAUUGAGUCCUGUUAGGGUGACUGUUGGCCAUAGUCUCUCAGAUCUGAUGGUAAAUCCACUCCUUUACUUGUCUGAUGAGCCCAAGCUUCAGACUUCUUCCUCUGUCCCACGAAUUCUCUAAUGAGCAUUGAUAGGAGGUAGGGAGCUAACGUUUGCACUUUCUGGUUAUACCUUUCCACCAUCAACUGGUAAUUUUCAUAUGAGAGCUACAAUACCAAGGAUAAGCCCUCCUGAGGUGGGGGACUGAGGACAGAGUGGGCACCCAUCCUAACAGAGUGGAUUUCCUCCUAUAUAGUGUAGAGAGAGUUUUGGUUUGUUUAAAACCAAGUUAUGUGAGUAUGUUUUUGUGUUAAGGUUCCCAGGUGUGGGAUAUGGGGCUACUUCAGAUUGCCCAUAGCAGCUGACUAUGAUUUGUCCCGUGCUCUGGCCGGGGCGCGAUUCAGCCCGAUGAAAAUAGUUAAUGAAUUCCAGAGAUUCUUGAGAGUGUAUAAAAAUGCCAGAGACCUGAGAGGUUGCAGUGGCUGCUCCCCUGCUGCUGCUGCUUUUGUUGUUGCUGCUGCUUACUGGUUGGAGACACCCUGACAGUGAAGAUUGGACUUGCCCCAAGGAACUCGAUACCUCUGAUCAGCAGGAAGCAGUCUUAUGGUUUCCUCUCUACCCAGUGUUGGGGAUUUGGAAGGGAUAAGGAUGGAGAAGGAAAAGAACCUAAUAAAGUAACCAAAAAGGCAUGGA
Rattus norvegicus (Norway rat) is the source of this 8287-nucleotide non-coding RNA. Lineage: Eukaryota; Metazoa; Chordata; Mammalia; Rodentia; Muridae. The record is from RefSeq and is a predicted model, not a curated record.